GGGGAUGCUGGGCUUCGAAUAUGCGAAAUAGUAUAAUAUGAGCACGUCGAGCAGGUGUAUUUGCCUCGUAAAACCUUGUACACAACUGAUAAGUGCAAACUCUAUCAAAAGCAAUGCGCGGGUAUUAGCUUCAAGCUUCAUGCCAAACUUUGCUACCGCUUCAGCGUAAUUACGUAGAAGCCAUCUACCUUGCUGAUGCCUGAUGGGCGAGAAUGGAUGUCAUAUUAUCAGGAUAGAGUUACGUGGAUUGCAUACCCUCCGUAAUUCAAAAUUUAUGUACGCACGCGUACGGGUAAAGGAUGUCGAUCUCCCUCCCGCACAUGUACCAACGACCGACUACACGUGUAGACCAUAUUACGACUGUCGUAUAUCACGCGGGUUCAACUCCCGCCAUCUCCACCA
This 402-nucleotide transfer-messenger RNA is filed under the name bacterium. It matches the Rfam family "transfer-messenger RNA". Rfam says of the family: Bacterial tmRNA, also known as 10Sa RNA or SsrA, is named for its dual tRNA and mRNA-like properties. Its role is to liberate the mRNA from a stalled ribosome. The record is from RNAcentral.